AGGCAUCUGAGUAAUUAAUCUUCGGAGGUAUAAGAGUGGGCAUGCGUAGCUAUUAGCUAGAUGGUGCGGUAACGGCGUACCAUGGCGACGAUGCGUUAGGGGUUCUGAGAGGAAGGUCCCCCACACUGGUACUGAGAUACGGACCAGACUCCUACGGGAGGCAGCAGUGAGGAAUAUUGGUCAAUGGUCGGAAGACUGAACCAGCCAUGCCGCGUGCAGGAAGAAUGUCUUAUGGAUUGUAAACUGCUUUUGUAUGGGAAUAAUAAUAGCUUUGCGAAGUUAGAUGCAUGUACCAUACGAAUAAGGAUCGGCUAACUCCGUG
RNAcentral lists this ribosomal RNA (322 nucleotides) under uncultured bacterium. Its description in RNAcentral is "bacterial SSU rRNA". It matches the Rfam family "Bacterial small subunit ribosomal RNA", at positions 186 to 507 of the family's 1533-position model. The record is from RNAcentral.